CUUGAAAUUCGUUUUCAGAUAUUGAUUUAUUAAAAAACAAAUCUCUCCUGAGAAAGUUAGUAUUUAGCCUUCAGAAUGAGGUGUGAGUAUUAUUUAGAAAAUAAGGGAUGGGGCCACAUGUAGAGAAGCAAGGAUUCUAAUCGGGUACUCUUCAUUCCAUUAAUGGAACAAUAAAGGCCUUCUCAGAUGAGUCAUAGAGUGAUCUUGUCACUGGAGCACAUUUUGCAUGUAUAUUCACAGGACAGCUGUAUUAGCCACAUGGGCUAACUUCUGGCCAAGUGCAGACUGAGGAGGUGUUUGUCGAUAACCAAAGAGAGAAGCUGAAGGAUGCUGCAGGUUUCCUUUUGGAUCAUUCUGAAUCGUGAAUGCCCAAUGGGCUUUUCUGUGGUAGGAGAGUUCAUGGUUGCAGAGGGCUGAGUCCCAGCACUUACCUGCCAAGGGUGAGACCGAGCACUUACCAGCUAAGCUGAGAGCCUCUCUUCAGGAAUUCAGAGUGCAAGACUCACAGACUUUGAAGUAGUGUAUUUUCUCUCUUAUCUACAAGCUGGAAGAGUGCCCAAAGCGUAUCAGCUCAUCAGCCAGCCAUUUGUACCUGCUGCUCACUGUCUGCUACUGCUAAAUAUAUGCUAAUGAUGCUAUCUGAGCCUUGGGAUGAAUUUGUAAAUUGUGCUCAUGGCAGGGAAAUGAAUGCUACUUACAAAGGUGACAGAGAA
This 713-nucleotide long non-coding RNA is filed under the name Cyanistes caeruleus (blue tit). RNAcentral's name for it is "lncRNA (ENSCCEG00000016290.1)". The record is from RNAcentral. Lineage: Eukaryota; Metazoa; Chordata; Aves; Passeriformes; Paridae.